RNAcentral lists this ribosomal RNA (305 nucleotides) under uncultured bacterium. RNAcentral's name for it is "bacterial SSU rRNA". It matches the Rfam family "Bacterial small subunit ribosomal RNA", at positions 333 to 655 of the family's 1533-position model. The record is from RNAcentral.
CUAAUCCUACGGGGGGCAGCAGUGGGGAAUAUUGCACAAUGGGGGAAACCCUGAUGCAGCAAUGCCGCGUGGGUGAAAAAGUACUCCGGUAUGUAAAGCCCUAUCAGCAGGGAAGAAAAUGACGGUACCUGACUAAGAAGCCCCGGCUAACUACGUGCCAGCAGCCGCGGUAAUACGUAGGGGGCGAGCGUUAUCCGGAUUUACUGGGUGUAAAGGGAGCGCAGGCGGCGUGGCAAGUCAGAUGUGAAAACCAGGGGCACAACCCCGGGACUGCAUUUGAAACUGCCAUGCUGGAGUGCCGGAGG